CACUCCUACGGGAGGCAGCAGUGGGGAAUUUUGGACAAUGGGCGAAAGCCUGAUCCAGCAAUGCCGCGUGAGUGAAGAAGGUCUUCGGGUUGUAAAGCUCUUUUGUCAGGGAAGAAACGGUGAAAGCUAAUAUCUUUUGCUAAUGACGGUACCUGAAGAAUAAGCACCGGCUAACUACGUGCCAGCAGCCGCGGUAAUACGUAGGGUGCAAGCGUUAAUCGGAAUUACUGGGCGUAAAGCGUGCGCAGGCGGUUUUGUAAGUCUGAUGUGAAAUCCCCGGGCUCAACCUGGGAAUUGCAUUGGAGACUGCAAGGCUAGAAUCUGGCAGAGGGGGGUAGAAUUCCACGUGUAGCAGUGAAAUGCGUAGAUAUGUGGAGGAACACCGAUGGCGAAGGCAGCCCCCUGGGUCAAGAUUGACGCUCAUGCACGAAAGCGUGGGGAGCAAACAGGAUUAGAAACCCGGGUAGUCCCAUG
RNAcentral lists this ribosomal RNA (474 nucleotides) under uncultured organism. RNAcentral describes it as "partial 16S ribosomal RNA". It matches the Rfam family "Bacterial small subunit ribosomal RNA", at positions 334 to 799 of the family's 1533-position model. The record is from RNAcentral.